UGGCGGACGGGUGAGUAAUGUCUGGGAAACUGCCUGAUGGAGGGGGAUAACUACUGGAAACGGUAGCUAAUACCGCAUAACGUCGCAAGACCAAAGAGGGGGACCUUCGGGCCUCUUGCCAUCGGAUGUGCCCAGAUGGGAUUAGCUAGUAGGUGGGGUAAAGGCUCACCUAGGCGACGAUCCCUAGCUGGUCUGAAAGGAUGACCAGCCACACUGGAACUGAGACACGGUCCAG
This 235-nucleotide ribosomal RNA is filed under the name uncultured bacterium. Its description in RNAcentral is "partial 16S ribosomal RNA". It matches the Rfam family "Bacterial small subunit ribosomal RNA", at positions 96 to 334 of the family's 1533-position model. The record is from RNAcentral.